CUAACUGGAAAAUACACAAAAAUAAAAACCUAGACCUAAUACCUAUAAAUACCCCGUAUACUCUUCAGCCGCAGGGGAGGGGAACAUUUGAAAGGUUCAGAUUUUACAUCUUAGGUAUUGUUCAUCAUCUUCUUGAACACCAAAACAAGACCAAAAACCCUAGAACCCAUGGCUACUUCUUCUUCUUAUUGAACAAACCACCAGCCUAACCACGACUCUCAUUGCACAACCAUCACCCUCAACCACGCCUGUCGCCAACCCUCGUCACAGCAACGAGCCAGAAACUCAUGCUCCUUCACGUCCACAAACCCGCCUUUUCGGUUGCCAGCAACCUCCCGUCACGCCACCAACGACAUCCAAACAACCUCCACCAGUCCAGCUCCUCUCCUCCAAAUGACCAUCGUCCUCCUCGUCGUCCCUCACCCUCACGAAAACAAAACCAAAUGAACUACUAUCGUCCACAAACCCACCAUUUAUGUCGUCCAUACAACCUUCAGCUAGCCCUUAUCCGGCUCGCCAAUGCCACCAGUCAAUACACCAGACCACCCUUUACCCGUCGUCGAAGGUCAUGGAUCGAGGUUUUGGUUCGAGGUCUUCUGGUUGGAGGUACGUUCGAGUUCGUCGUUGUUUAAGUCGUUGGUCGAGGUUCUGUUCGUUGGUUGCCGAGGUUAGAAGGUUACUGUUACUUCUUUCCAUUUCUCUUGUCUAAAUAAAUUAGAUUUUGUGAAUAAUUUGUGUUUGUAAUCCUAUGCAUGAUAGCUAAAUAUUCAGCUUAUUUGGAUGAAAUACUUGGUGUUUGAGCAUGUUAUUGCUAUUUGCCAAUUUUUGGAUUCUAACGGAAUAUAGUAUACUACUGUUUUCUUCGAUGUGCUUCUGAGUUACAUCCAAAGUUUAAUUUUGUUCUUUCAUGUUUGGUGAUUUAUUUUUUAAGAUGCCUACUAUCAUCAGCUAAGCUUUUAGACAUUAUAAAAAUAUGAAUUCAAUUCCUGAUAUGGAGUUAGGACAACUUGUAGAUUCAUUAUUACCCAAUAUUCACCUUUUCCCUAAUUUAUUUGCAAAAUUUGCUCAAGCGUUAGAAAGUAUUUAAUCAAUUCAUGAAAUAUCGUAGUCUGGCUUAGUUAAGUUAUAAAUCGUUAGGUAUAAUUUGAAGUAUGCCAUAUUAGAUAAUGCAAAUAGUGCAUGGACCUCAUUUAAGUAAUCUUGAAUCCUUAGGACUCGAGGCGUGCCGUUUAGCAAAUUCCACGGCUCUCGCAAAGUUACAACGCGAAAGUGCUUUAGGCGUGUUAGUUUAAUAAUAUUACCUUCUUAAAACUCGGGUGGCAUUGAUGCGACCCAAAUCCAAAUCUUGAUGAAGUCAAAAUGUCUCGAUGACUACGGGUGCCUUGAUGGUGACGUGGUCAAAGACGUGUUUUCACGACGUUGCAAGUCCUUUAAAAUAAAUAAUGGUAAAAGCGGGUUUGUAAAUAAAAGGCACGUAAGUUAGCAUUUAUUAAAAUUAGAUAAAAUCAAAUGCAAUAGUUGAGCGACCGUGCUAGAAUCAGGGAACCCGCGAAUGCCUAACACCUUCUCUCGGGUUAACAGAAUUCCUUAUCCGGAUUUCUAGUUCGCAGACAAUGAACAAAGUCAUCUUUUUCCUUGGUUCUGGAUUCAAUCGGUGACUUGGGACACCACUAAUCUCCAAAGUAGAGACUCUGAAUAAUUAAUAACUAUAUCCUGUUCCGAUUGUUCUUUAAUUGGAAAAACUCCUUUCCGCCCCUUUGCAGGGGUGUACAGCGAAAAAGGAGGUGUGACAGCUCUGGCGACUCCGCUGGGGAAAAGAACCCAGAUUGUUUUGUUCAGGGUUCAAAAUUCGAUCUUAGAUAAAUGUAUUUGGUUAUAUCUAAUUUUCUUACAUGUUGUGUGUGCUAAAUGUUACCGCUUUAAUAUUAUCUAAAUUGUAUAUAAACUGUGCCGACACCCUUCUCUCUCUACCUCCGGGGAUGUGCUUACUGGUAGAGACUCCCUAUUCUGUUAGUGUCAUACACUGAAAUAAGAAAGAGGCUCGGACAAGUUACGAAGCCAGAAGGCCUUUUGGUUCCCGAUAAUUUUCCCCCUCCUCGACUCGAGUUGUCCGCUCGGGUACACUGUCGAGAACACAAACCCAGGUUUUGAACCUAGAAUAAAUUGACUUCAUGCCGGAUCCCUAGUAGGAACGCUUAUUCGUAUCAUGUUGCAUUUGAAUUGAGAGACUCAACACAAGCGUUGGGUCCGUCUAGGACAAGCAACCUAAAAUGAACAUACCAUCUUGAUGCAUCCUAUGUGCUACAUGUUGCAUUUAUUCAAGGGUAAAAGGUAAUUUCGCGGACCAAUGAUAGUUGAGGGCAAAUGAAAAUGAAAAAUAAAAAAUAAAGAAAAAGAAGGACAAAGAAAAAGAGGGUGAAGUGUGAAUAUAAAGCAAGUAUGGCCUAGUUAUGUCUUUGUUUUUUUUAUUUAGAAAAAAAAAGGCAUGGAAAAUUCAAAAAGAUUUUGCAUUUUUAAAAAAUCAUUUUGUGAAAGUCAAAAAUCAAAAAAAAGAGGGAAAAAGAAAAUUCAAAAAAGGUUUUUCAUGUUUCAUCAUUUUUCAAGAAAAAACAAAAAAAGUAUAUAUGUUUUCUCUAAAUUAGUUGUUUUUUAAUUCCCAUCCGUUCCCAAUCUGCCCGAACUACGCAUACCUGAUUCUCGUCUUUCGGGGCGUGAUAUGUAGGCAACCCACAUAGGGUCCGGUCUUCUUAGUAAAUUUUAGGUUUUUGGCUUUGCGGGAUCUUAGCCAAAUUUUACACUUCUAGCCACCUUUUGGCCAAAUAAACCAUUUUGCAAAGAUAGCCUAAUCAUGUCUUGCGUGUGUGUAAUAGGGAAUGUUUUUAUCUCACAUAGUGUUGGUUUAAGUUUUCUCAUACAUGUAUGGAUUUACUUACCGGUGUUUGAGCAGGACAUAGCCUAGGACAUCUAGUCAGGAUCGUCCAUUCAGGAGUGGAUUAAAAAAAGAUUUCCUUUUCUUAUUUUUGACUCUCUUUGUCUUUUAUGUCAUUUUUUUACCUUAGUUUUAUAUAGUAACGUCGAGUUUUGUUAUUAUUAUUGUACCUUUUAUUUUUCAAGGCUGUGUAAUAAAUCAAAAUCCAAAAAAAAGAUGUUGCAUUUUAUAUUUUCGUUAUAAGUUUUCUUUAGAAUACUAAUUGUAGAAAUGAAAAAAAUGGUUUUGAGGUGGUUUUUCCUUUAGGCAAUUAAUAUCUAGGACUAAAAAGAGGCUAUUUCUCUAUUUCCUUUAUUAUAUUAAGACUAAAAUCCAAAAAAAAAAAAAUAAAGAGAGAAUUUUGUAUUAGUAUCUCUUUAUGAGUUUUCUUUUUAGGUGUUAAUUCAAAAUUCAAAAUGAUUUUCUUUUGAGCUGUUUCUUUGGAAAAUUAGCAAAAAUGAAAGAAAGAUUCUUUUUGUUUCUACUAGAAUGUUAGGAUAUUGUACAUAGAAGAAAGAAAAAAAACGUAUUUUAUCUUUGGUUUAUUUCAGAGUUCCUCCCUUAGGUAAUCAAGUUAAAAUUUGUUUUAUCUUUUUCAUGGUUUGUUUCGAGGUCUUGCAUUACGAUAUCAAAUGAAGAUUUAAAAUAUUUUUUCUGUGAUUUAUUCUUUUGAUUUUAUUCCUUAAAAAAGGGUAAAAAGAUAAUAUUUUUCUCUUCUAGGAUUUUUUCUUAAUAGAGUAUUUGCUUCGAAAAAUUAAGUUUGGAUUUUUAGGAUUUUUCCUUAAUAGAGUAUUUGCUUCUAGGAUUUCUCUUCUAGUAUUUGCUUCAAAAAGUAGCUUGAGUUUAGAAUAGGUUAUAGAGCAUUCUAUCUAGAAAAUUAAAAAAAAAGGGUUUAUUGCUGUUAUAGAACUUCCAUUCUAGAAAAUUCGAAAAAGGGUUUGCUGCUUCAUUUCACUUUUCUCAUCAGAUUAAAAAAAAGGAGAAUGUCAGUUUGUUUACUUUACUUCCGUUCUUCCCGAACUACGCAAAGAUCUGAUUCAUGCGGGGUCAUUAUACGUAGGCAACCUAUGUAGGGUUCGAUCGAAUUUUUUUUACUAAAAAAAGAAAAGAAAAAAGAAAAAGGAGAAAACGGGAUGGAAAAAUAGAAAGGAAAAGAAAAAAAGGGGUGAAAUCACGGGACGUGAGAAAUGAGAGGAAAGAAAGGAGUGAUAAUGAGAAAUAAAAAAGGAAGAAAAAUGAUCAAUAAGUGCUAGAAAAGCAAAGAGAAGAGAGGUUGAAAUGAACAAAUUGGGAUGAUGCCAACUGACCUGUGUACCCUCGAAGUCAUUUUAGAACCGAUAAUUGUGAUUAGGUGCCUUGCAUACAAUGUGAUAUUUUAGCUGUUAAAUGCCCUAACGCUAACAUGAUGGCUUCAUUUGUUUUAUUUAUAGCAUAAAGUUGGUUGGUUUGUGGUUUUAUAGUGGUAACUCUUCUAUACAACACAAGGUCAAAGAUUAAGGCAGUCAUGGCUGGCAAAGGGUUGAACAUGGGUGUUACUGAUCCUUCUAAGGAAAUUGUUGAAUCAUAAGCUGAGUUAAAACAAGAGGUUUUAAGAUUGAAAAGACAGAUGACCGAAAUAUACCAAGCUUGGAUAAAUGGUUUCCUCCUCCCUCAGUCCCUGAUGCCCAACAUUAUGCUCCAGAACCAAUUGUCAAGGCCCCGAGUCCAUACCAUCACGCUCGUCAUUUUGAGCUUUCCAGUGAGACUACGAAGCUUGCUAAAAUAGUGGAGUGGGAUGAGAUAUCCAGAAAGCUGAAAGGGUUUGAAGUUUAAUUUGUAUGAUGGGCGGAGAGAUCCAGUAGCCCACUUGAGGGAUUAUUGCAAUAAAACGAGAAAUGUUGGCAAGGAAGAUUAAUUGUUGAUAACACAUUUCAGUGAGAGUCUGAUUGGGGUAGCCUUGGAAUGGCAUGAUCGCCAAGAUGUCGGGAAGUGUCACACGCUGGGCUACAUGGCUCGAGAUUUUGUGAGACAUUUUCAUUACGGUAAAGACAUUGUCCCAAACCGUUCCUCCCUAUCUAGAAUGGAGAGGAAACCAGGGGAGAGCUUUAGAGAGUUUGGGCUCAGAUGGAAGAGCAAGCUGCCCGAGUCAAUACCCCGAUUGGUGAAGAAGAGAUGGUUGAAAUUUUCAUGCAGGCUCAGGGGCUUGCCUACUUCAAAUAUUUGACCCCAGCCGUGGGCAGACCUUUCGAUGAUGUGCUAAGAAUGGGGGAGUUCGUAGAACAGGGAAUCAAGUCGGGCAAAAUAAUGAGUUGCUCGAAAGACAUUUAGGACAUCUCGUUACGCUCGGAAAGGAGAAAGAGAAACAGAAAAAGUGAUCCAAAUGACUCUCCUGAUCAACAUUUCUAAUCGCGACAUCAUACCUGUGAAUAUUCUCGUGCAUUGGAUGACCCUACCCAACGUUACUUUUCUCCACAGGACUCCCAAAGACAUACCUCACUCUCCAAGUAACCAGCUCCACGAAAUACCUAUCCACCCUCAUGAGCAUACCAGAAACCCCUUGGGUCAGGUUUUAGGCCAAAUCAGGCAUGUAAGAACGAUAGGCUUCUGAAACGAGAAAAGGCUCUCACCCCUAUUGGAGAAUCAUAUGCCAAUAUGUUCCAAAAGUUUAAGCAAGUAGGCAUGCUGAAGCCGAUUCAGGUGAAGAUGCCAAACCCUCUGAAAUGUGAUUUCUCUCUAAAGUGUGCAUAUUGCUCAAAUGCUCCGGGGCAUGACACAGAAAAGUGCUGGAAGCUGAAGAAAGCAAUUCAGGAGCUUAUUGACACGGGUAAUAUCGUCAUGCAAAGUCCAGGCGCAUCGGACACAAGCCAAAAGCCGUCGCCUACACAUAAUGGGGUAGACAUGGUGGGUAUGAUUUGUUUUGAAAAGGAAUGUGAGAAUUCUCUAAGAGCCUUGGAGACCUAAAAACAAUUUGCUGAGGAUAAUGUGACAAAAUUUUGUAAAGUUCCUAAUGUUGGUGAUGCAAAAUUCGGUGGCUAAGAUGUCGUAUUUUGUAAUUGGCAAGAUGCUCCAUUCCUAGGUCAGUCGAGGAGGAGCUUUGGUGGUCUAUUUUGUUGUCAUUUCUGUUGUCCGGGUUAUUUCAGGGUUGUAAUUCGGAUAUUGUCUAGUGACUCAAACCCUUCUAUCCUUUUAUUUUGUCUUGUUUGUGUUGUUGAAGUAGCACGUUCAGUGUUGUUUAGGUUUGUUCCAAAGUUGUAACCCCAGUUUAGUUUGCUUAUUUUGUUGUUCGAACCGUUUCACCAUCUGUCGAAUGCAAUUCUUGUCUUUUGUUAUUUCUAGUCAUUUUUCUUUAAUUAGUUCUUUUCUAUCCAUAUGUUUAAUGCUGGUUCUGGUGACAUGACAUGCACCUGUAAUUCUAAGCCAGAGCUCAAAAGUUAGCUUAGUCGUGAAGAAUUGAAAAAAUUUUGAAGAUAGCAGGGGCACUUGAGGGAAAUAAGAAUAGAUAUGGAAAUUUUGAGAUCAGUUGAAGCCCGAACCAUGUGAAGCUGGGGAAAGUAAAACAUAAAGAAAUCGUAAAAGCAAGUUGGCCAAAUUGACAGGGGGCCUUUUGUGGUAAUGAGAGUAAGAGUGUUGGCCAAUGGUGCGUUGUAUUUAACGGAUAAAGAAGGAAAAUGUGCGGAUAUGGUUAUCAAUUCUGGCAAUAUCAAAAGAUGUUACGAAUGCUUGUUUAAUUUUCUUGUUUGUACUUGGCAUGUUUUGAAGAUUGGGAUGACGAAGGUACUUUGUUCUGCUAUCGAAACAACAUACCCCUCGUCACCCCUUUUGAGCCUUAUUUAGUUUCUUUCAUACUCCUCUUUCGGAAUCAGUAGCAAGAAUCAGAAACACAAGCAUGAAAGAUAAGAAAAGAAAAAAAAAAGAAAAAGAAUGAAAAGAAAGAGAAGGAAAAAAAAUAAGAAAAGAAAAAGAAAAAGAGGAAGAAAAAAAGAAAAGAGACAAAAAGAAAAUGAAAAUACGGAAAAGAGAAAAUAAAAACAAAGGAAAAGAGAAGAAAAUUCACAACAAAAGUAAUUUCUAUGACGUGAACUACGUUUGACUUGAUCCCGAAAGGGUACGCAUGCAGCCUCGCUAAGGUUCAGUUAUACCAAAAUAAAAGUCCAAAAAUCCCCAAGCAAGAAACUGGGGCAGAAGUUGUGGUUGUUGUGAGAAGUCUGAUUCUGAAAGUUGUAGAUUUUAACCCAUUAGAAUUGCUUUGAGCCUUUUAUACCCCUUCUUUCUAACCCUGUCCAAAAGCCCACAUUACGGUCCAAAAAAAGACCUUUUGAUAAGUCUUUAAGAGAUGCCAAGUCAAGCAAGUAGAAGUGAUUCAUGUCAGGGGCAAUACUCUGAUCCAAACAAGGAAAAUGAAAAUGAAAAUGAAAAUGAUCGAGCCAAAUUGAUGAAAACCGUCACGGGUACCACAAGGUGAUGAAUGCUGAGAGAAAUAAAAAAUGAGAGUCUUACUGGUGAAAACCUUCACAGGCACCUUGAGGUGAUGGCAAGUUGAGAGAAAGAACAAAUGAGAGAGGUUUUGUUGGUGAAAACACUUUGGGCACUACAAGCCGAAUAUGGAAUGUAAAUCAGAUUGGAUAAGCGGAGCAUUGGAGCCCAGUUUCACAGCAAAAAGGUACAGCAAGACCUGAACAUCAGAUGUGCUUAACAGAAUAGGCCACAAGUGCAUGUCAAGGUCAUUAUAGUCGGUAUCCACAUCCGAUAGGUUUCUACUUUGUAGUUUUUCUUGUUAGGAAUCAUCUCUUUCCUUUGUCCUUCACUUCGUUCCUCUGUUUUGUUCACUUCCUCUUCCUGAGUUUGUUUGGUCAUAACAAGUGAGAAUUGACUUCAAUAUUUGCCACCAGCUUUCCAAUUACACAAAAUGGGGUCUAUCUAGCACAUCAAAGUGUCACAAGUCAGGAAAAACAGCAAGAGGACUAACCUCGUAACAAUAAACACUCUUUGGGAUCCUUGUGAAAUACAAAGGCUUGGUACAUAUCAAUUUAUGAACAGGGCAACAGAUAGAGGGUAUUGGGUCUGAAUGGAUCAAAGGUAUUUUCUAUGAUAAAAUUAACAAAAAUGGUGGUGAAGCAAUGACAAGCAGGGUUUCGAGUGGAAAUCAAAGUUAAUAUGGCAAGUGAAGGAACAAAAGACCUCAAGGCAAGGGAUAAUGGUUUAAGUCAAGAAAUAACAACAUGCGCAAUGAGUGAGUCGCAAUUGUCGUACUUUGGGAUUCAUGUGAAACAAAAGGUUUUCAUGAGCAAUGCAACAGAUAAAAGGUAUUGGGUCUAAACGGAGAAGAGGUAUUUUCUGUGAUAAGGGUGGAAAAGAAAUUGGUUAGUCAAUAAGCAAGCUAUGUCUUUCAAGGUGAAAUCAAAAACAUCAUGGCAUGUGAAGGACCAAUCGCCGCAAAGUCAAGUCCACAAACCAACCACCAUGUUUAAACUGACAAGUUUUCUUUGUUUGAAGCAGGGACGGAAGCUAUAUUCAUACCAAAGCUUGGAAGGUUUAAAUUCUCAGGUGUAAUGCCCCAAUUCUGCUUACGCAAAGAGUAUUGAGAAAAUCACACAUCACCACUAGGAGAAGCAUUUCCUAGUUUGGUUUUUCAAGUUAUAUUUUCUUGUAGGAGACGCACUUUUUGAACUGAGGUUUUACCCUUAGGAGAUGCACUUCCUAGCUUGGAUCAUAUGAGUUUGAGUCACAGAUGGUUUUACCCCUAGGAGACGCACUUCCUAGUCCAAGUUUUCCAAAUUAUAUUUUUUGCUUAGGAGACACACUUCCUAAUUUGACAGUUCAUACAUAGGAGACGCACUUCCAAGUCAUUGAGAUUUUACCCCCAGGAGACGCACUUCUUGAAUUUAUGUUUCAUUUAUAGGAAACACACUUCCUAGUUUGAGUCAUUGAAUUUUAACCCAUAGGAGACACACUUCCUAAGUUGAAAGUUCAGUCGUAGGAGACGCACUUCCUAGUUUAAAUCAUUGAAAUUUCACCCCUAGGAGACACACUUCCUAUUCUGAUUCAUUGAAGUUUUACACAUAUGAGACACACUUCCUAAAUAGAGAAGUUCAUUAGCAGGAGACACACUUCCUAAAUUGAGGUUUCACCCCUAGGAGACCCACUUCCUAGUUUGAGUCAUUUAAGUUCGUCCCUAGGAGACGCACUUCCUAGUCUGGUUCAUUGAAGUUCUACCCAUAUGAGAAGCACUUCCUAUGUUGAGCUUUACCCAUAUGAGACGCACUUCCUAGUCUAAAUCAUUGAAAUUUCACCCCUAGGAGACGCACUUCCUAGUUUGGUUCAUUGAAGCUUUACCCAUAGGAGACGCACUUCCUAAAUUGAGAUGUUCAUUAGUAGGAGACGCACUUCCUAGUUUAAGUCCUUGAAGUUACACCCAUAGGAGACGCACUUCCUGAAUUGAGAUUUCACCCCUAGGAGAUGCACUUCCUAGUUUGAGUCAUUUAAGUUCAACCCUAGGAAACACACUUCCUAGUCUGGUUCAUUGAAGUUUUACUUGUAGGAGACACACUUCCUAAUCAAGGUCUUUCAAGCUAUUCUUUUAGGAAACACACUUCCUAAACUGAGAGUUCAUUCAUAGGAGACACACUUCCUAGUUUUAGUCACUGAAGUUUUCACCCCUAGGAGACGCACUUCGUAGUCUUGGUCAUUUAAGUUCACCCUUAGGAGACACACUUCCUAGUCUUGCUCAUUUAAAUCAUCUUUAGGAGACACACUUUCUAUUUUGAUUCAAUUCCAUGUCUUUGUUAUUUACAUUCACCCCUAGGAGAUGCACUUCCUAAUUUGGUUCAUUCAUGUUUAAUUUUAGCAGACGCAUUUGUUAGUCAAAGUUCUUGGUUUUACUCAUAGGAGACGCACAUCCUAGUCUAGUAUUUGGUUUACUCUCAUCAUUGCAUUAAUAGUAUAAGUGGCUUACAAUUUUGCUACAACUCACAAAUCUUCCUAGUGCAAAAUGUGGCAGAAAAUUUUGUUUGUUUUGUUUGUUUUGGUUGCAGGGUCCCACAUGGAAAACAAGGUAACACAGAAAGUUUAGCAGUCAGGAGCCCGCUUGAAGAACAGAGGUGAUACAAUUCAAAUUUAGUUUUCAAUUAAUUUCUUUGUUUAUUUUGAAGUCAGGAAUCCGCCUGGAGAACAGAGACAUGCAUUUCGAAUUUUAGCAGUCAGGAGUACGCCUGGAGAACAGAGACAUGCAUUUAAAAUUCAGAAGUCAGUAAUCCGCCUGGAGAAAAGAGACAUGCAUUUCAAGUUUCAGAAAAUAGGAGCCCGCCUGAAGAACAGAGGUGAUACAAUUAAGAUUUUGGCUUUCAGUUGGUUUCUUUGUCUAUUUUGAAUUCAGGAGCCCGCCUGGAGAACAUAGGAAUACAUUCAAGUUGCUAAAGUCAGGAGCUUGCCUGGAGAAUAGAGGAAUACAUUCAAGUUGCUGAAGUCAGGAGCCCGCCUGGAGAAUAGAGGAAUACAUUCGAGUUUUGAAGUCAGGAGCCCACCUGGAGAACAGAGGUAUUACAAUUCAAAUUUUAGUUUUUAAAUUCUCAUCCAGUAACAUGUACCAGUUUUCAAACUGAGGCAGAAAGGUUUUUUUCGUUGUGACUAUUUUUUGAAGUCGGGAGCCUGCCUGGAUAAUAGAGGAAUACAUUAAAGUUCAGGAGUUUGAAGAAGGGAUAACAUCUCAGUUAACAAUUAAAAGCGGCAACAAUGGAUUUCACCUGGAGAGCAAGGGAAGACAACUCAAUUUUCAAGGGAAAGCAGUAUCGACGGAAAACAAAUCAAGUUCAAGGGAAAGCAGUUUCGAAGGAAGACAGUUCAAGUUUCAAGGGAAAAUGGUUUAAGGUGUAGAGCAGGUUUGACCUCAAGGCAUACGAUUCGAGAUGGCAGCAAGAAUGAGUCUCACUCCAAAAUAAAGAAAAGAAAAAAAAGAAAAUAAAGAAAGAAAAAGAACAGAAGAAGUGCGCUCCAAAGUUCAGAAGCAGGGAAAGAUUUGAACUGCUCAAGACAUGGUUGAAGUCAUGAGAACUACAUGCCCGGUCUUGAUCCAAAAGCUGAAGAAUAUUGAACCAACACCUGUGGCUAACAAGCAUCAUGAAUCAGAUCAAGGUCCACAUGAAGUACCAACCAAGACUCAAGAUCAAGCUUCAUAAGACUCAUAGAUAGGAAUCUUGUAACUCGUAGCUGAUAUGCUUAGUUAUUCUUUUUCAGUUUUGAUUUUGAUGGAAUAACAGAACUGCGGACCGGAGCCUCAGACGGAACCUUGACUCGCAACCUCGGUACUCCAUUAGCUCGUUCACUUCUGAACUACACGUGGCCUGAUUCCUUUAUAGCCAAGGAUAUGUAGCCAGCCAGAUACUAAGGCUCGGUCACAUUCCUUUUUUUAUUUUAGUCUCUCUAAAUAAGGGUCGGGUUGAAAAACAUAUCUAGUCGUUCUUUUUAUGAAAACUCUUUGUGUUUCUAGUCAAAGAGGGGCAGUUGUAGAUAUGUGAUUUUUGACCCUCCCCAAGAUUUUUUAUGUUUUAGCGUAAAGUAUUUAGUUUAGUCCUAAUAUAUCUAUUUCAGCUAAUUUUGGCUCUUUUACUUUAUUUUCGUCACAAAAAAUAAAAAUUAAAAAAAAAUAUAUAAUAAGUUAGUUUAUGUGUUUCUUCUAAAUUUGAAAAAUACAAAAAUAGUACCUUAUUUUUAUCUUUAUAUAAUUUCGAAAAUACGAAAAAAAAAUAGUUUCAUUAAUGUUUUGUAGUUACUUUAAAUUUGAAAAAAUGAAAAAACCUUAUUUUUUAUCUUUAUAUUUCGAAAAUCCAAAAAAAGUUUUAUGUUCAGUUUAAUUAAUUAGGAAUAAUUUUUAUGUGGCGUAGUAUUUCUAUCCUAUUUUUAAAAGUCAUUUUCUUUGUUAGAGACCCUUUUAGACUCUUAUUUAGGAAAAAAAAUAAAUAAAAAGACCCUAGGAGCUUAACUCAAAAUGACCUAAAUGACUUAGGGACUAACUGGCAAAUACACAAAAAUAAAAACUUAGACCUAAUACCUAUAAAUACCCCAUAUACUCUUCAGCCGCAGGGGAGGGGAACAUUUGAAAGGUUCAUAUUUUACACCUUAGGUAUUGUUCAUCAUCGUCUUGAACACCAAAACAAGACCAAAAACCCUAGAACCCAUGGCUACUUCUUCUUCUUCUUGAACGAACCAGCAGCCCAACCACGCCUCUCAUCGCACAACCAUCACCCUCAACCACGCCAGUCGCCAACCCUCGUCACAGGUGCGUGUAUUGCUCCAAUUCCCCUGGGCAUGACAUAGAGAAGUGUUGGAAUCUGAAGAAUGCGAUUCAAAAGCUUAUUGAUGCAGGUGACCUUGUCGCGCCAAAUGAAGAUGCAGCAGGCACCAACCAAUGUCCAUCGCUUGUGAAUAAUAAGACGCACAUGAUGGGUGUGAUUUAUUUUGAAAAGGAAUAUGAGAAUUUUUCUGAGAGCCUCGGAGUUCCACAUGCUGCUAAGCUUUUAGCGGUAUUAGAGGUUGAUCCUGAAAACGGGUUGGCAAAAGGAACCCAAAAAAAAUUUGUUAAGAACAAUGUGAUGAAGACUUGUGAAGUUCCUAGUAUUGUUGAUGUCGAAUUUAGUGGCUAAGAUGUUGAGUUUGAGGAUUGGAAAGACGCUCUUUUCUUGGUUAGCCAGGGAGGAGUUUUGGUGGUUCACGUUGUUGUCAUUUCUCUUAUCCGAGUUAUUUCAGGGUUGUAAUCUGGAUAUUGGCUUGUGAUUCAAACCUUUCUAUCCUUUUAUUAUGUCUAAUUACUUUAUUCAUAGUAUCUCAUGGGACCAAAUUGGCACAUUUUAAAAUAAUUGUUCCAUUUGGGACCAAAGAUGAUCCCAAGUUCCUGAAGAUAUACUGUUUUUAUUUUUGAGUGAGAGACUCGACGUCGAAUCCCCGCAGCACCAAAUAGAUAUCUAAAACGGAGCAAGCUGAGAAAACUAGCGAUAUGAUUACCAGAUAAUCCGACUCGAGUUCGAGUCUCAGGCACCACGAGCCUCUUUGAAUAUGAAUCACUUAGUUCCAUAGAGAAAUACAGACCUUAAUUAACUACCUUAUUCACAGCAAAUAAGAACCCACCAAUUAAUCAAUAAAUUCGAAUUGAAAUACGCAUGCUAAAAUAUUAUCAGAAUUCCAACAACUGGACCUGAAUCAACCUAUCACUUAAUGUAACUUUCUAAUCACAGAACCAUAGAUUAAAACACAAAGCAGGCCUGCAUUCCUUUUAUUAACAUGUCUAAACAUGGAAUAACCAAAACCAAAAUGUACUGAACUUCAUGCAUUGAAUUCAAACACUGCAUACAAUAACAUACCAAAGAAGUAAUACGCAAUACAUGUACUAGAAAAAAACCCUGUAUUUAGCUAAUAGAAAUUACUAUAUUAGCCUUCGCUACAACUAAAAGAACUAGCUAAUCCAAAUAUAUCUCAUGAGUUCAAAAACAGUAUCUAGUUAAUUACAUAACAUGAUGAUCUAUAUAUCAACAAGGCUAAUGUACUAUAUCGAUUCGAAUGAACUCAACCCCCAUCAGCCAAAGCGUAGACAACAGAAUAUUUUGGAUUCAAAAAAUGAGAUAACACAGCCCGAAAAAAAACUUCAAACCAAUAGCUAACCCAACAAAUUUUGAGGAAUCAAAACCACUAAAAAUCAGUCCCAAUCAAUGGAACAGUAAACUUCAACAAAUCUCAGACCAAAACCCUUUCAAACUCAAGAUCAAACCAUCUCAAAUUCCCAAAAUGAACCAGAUUGUUUUAGAGUGAAGAACCUAAAAACUAGAAACAAAAUUCAAUAGAACAGUGAUUUCUUUUAAAGUUUUUCCUAGCCGCCUCUGACUUUCUGUGUUUUAGCUCUUAAAAUUCUCUCUUGAAAGGCAAGGAAAAGUGCCUUUAUAGGCAAGCCAAUAGGGAAAUCUUCAGAUUUUAGUUUUUACACUUUACCCCUUUUCGAAUUUUCAUUUUUGCUUAGCUAACCUCUAAUUAUUGACUUGCUACCCAAGUUUUAAUAACUAUACAUCUGAAAUUUCACUAACGCCCCUUACUAGAAGUUUCCAAAUUAGUUACUAAGAGAUUCCCUAUGUCCUAUUUCCAAAACGACCCCUUUAUGACCCUGUUAUUACCCCCUAAACUCAAUGGGUCCAACUGACCCAAGAAUUAAGCCAGCCUUGGGCUUAACAAGAACAACUCGGAUUCUUGCCCAUUUGGGCUUUCUAAUUUCCAGAAACCAAAUUCAGGCCAUAAACCAUAAUCAACAAUCCUAAUAGGUUGAACAAGAAAUCUCAGUAGAAAACCAGCUAUUCUUUAGCAAGAAACCAAAAUAAAAAAAAUAGGCGAGAAUUAAUCCCAUGAGACAAUUCAAACAAACUAAACAUUUAACAAAUUAAAGCAUGCAAACAGAUACAAAUAAAAUAAAAGAACAAAUAUGUGACAAAGAGGAGAAGAGGAGAUGGAGAAGAGAUUAAGACCUGAAUUUAAACUAAGACGAAGAACAAAGAGAAUGAUAACUGAGAACACCUAACGUGGAUGGCCAACCUUGAAGUCACUCUUCGACCUUUCGAUUAUGACCAAAAGGAGUCUUAAUCAUGUGUUCACAAGGGAAAACACAUGAACAAGAUCUAUCUUGGCCUCAAUCUUUAAUAACUCCGUCGAUUUUGGAAUCUGGAAAUAUUAGGUUUCAAGUUUAAGAUUUGAUGACUUCAAGCAAUAUUUGAGGGCAAUGGGUUAGCUAGAGGGUGCCGUGGUUGGUCUAGGGUAUCAAUCUGGGGUCGAUUGGGGAAAUUUGGGUUAGACCUCCCCUCUUCAAUUCACAAUUCGAGCAGUUUGGUUGGGAUUUGAGGGAAAAAGGGGUGUGGAUUUGGAAAUAGGAGGAAGAGAAGAAGCUAGGGUGUAAUUUUGGUGGAGAUUAGAGCAACGCCACCGGCGGAGAUGAUUUUUGGAAGGAGGUGUGCGGCGGAGAUGGUGGGGGUUCUCUGAGGAGUGGGGUGAAAGAGACAGGAUUGGGGCGGUAGGGUGUUGUUCGGACACUUAUAUAUUGAGAUGACACCACU
Molecule: long non-coding RNA, 15024 nt
Filed under: Nicotiana benthamiana
Lineage: Eukaryota; Viridiplantae; Streptophyta; Magnoliopsida; Solanales; Solanaceae
Description: long non-coding RNA (NBEN_LNC026630)
Source: RNAcentral